UACAGAGGUCUCAAGCGUUGUUCGGAUUCAUUGGGCGUAAAGGGUGCGUAGGUGGCGCGCUAAGUCAGGUGUGAAAUCUCGGAGCUUAACUCCGAAACUGCAUUCGAUACUGCCGUGCUUGAGGACUGGAGAGGAGACUGGAAUUUACGGUGUAGCGGUGAAAUGCGUAGAUAUCGUAAGGAAGACCAGUGGCGAAGGCGGGUCUCUGGACAGUUCCUGACGCUGAGGAGCGAAAGCGUGGGGAGCGAACAGG
RNAcentral lists this ribosomal RNA (253 nucleotides) under uncultured bacterium. Its description in RNAcentral is "partial 16S ribosomal RNA". It matches the Rfam family "Bacterial small subunit ribosomal RNA", at positions 524 to 776 of the family's 1533-position model. The record is from RNAcentral.